RNAcentral lists this ribosomal RNA (391 nucleotides) under uncultured bacterium. RNAcentral's name for it is "bacterial SSU rRNA". It matches the Rfam family "Bacterial small subunit ribosomal RNA", at positions 29 to 422 of the family's 1533-position model. The record is from RNAcentral.
AUUGAACGCUGGCGGAAUGCUUUACACAUGCAAGUCGAACGGCAGCACGGGGGCAACCCUGGUGGCGAGUGGCGAACGGGUGAGUAAUACAUCGGAACGUGCCCAGUCGUGGGGAUAACGUAGCGAAAGCUACGCUAAUACCGCAUACGAACUCUGGUUGAAAGCGGGGACUCGCAAGAGCCUCGCGCGAUUGGAGCGGCCGAUGGCAGAUUAGGUAGUUGGUGGGGAAAGGCUCACCAAGCCGACGAUCUGUAGCUGGUCUGAGAGGACGACCAGCCACACUGGGACUGAGACACGGCCCAGACUCCUACGGGAGGCAGCAGUGGGGAAUUUUGGACAAUGGGCGCAAGCCUGAUCCAGCCAUUCCGCGUGCAGGAUGAAGGCCCUCGGG